CCUACGGGAGGCAGCAGUGAGGAAUAUUGGUCAAUGGGCGCGAGCCUGAACCAGCCAAGUAGCGUGAAGGAUGACUGCCCUACGGGUUGUAAACUUCUUUUAUACGGGAAUAAAAUGAGGCACGUGUGCCGUUUUGUAUGUACUUUAUGAAUAAGGAUCGGCUAAUUCCGUGCCAGCAGCCGCGGUAAUACGGAGGAUCCGGGCGUUAUCCGGAUUUAUUGGGGUUAAAGGGAGCGUAGGUGGGUUGUUAAGUCAGGCGUGAAAGUUUGCGGCUCAACCGUAACACUGCAAUUGAUACUGGCAGGCUUGAGUACAGGUGAGGUAGGCGGAAUUCGUGGUGUAGCGGUGAAAUGCAUAGAUAUCACGAAGAACUCCGAUUGCGAAGGCAGCAUACUAAACUGCCACUGACAUUGAUGCUCGAAAGUGUGGGUAUCGAACAGGAUUAGAUACCCUUGUAGUC
RNAcentral lists this ribosomal RNA (460 nucleotides) under uncultured bacterium. RNAcentral's name for it is "partial 16S ribosomal RNA". It matches the Rfam family "Bacterial small subunit ribosomal RNA", at positions 338 to 795 of the family's 1533-position model. The record is from RNAcentral.